UCCUGUAGCAGUGAACCACCACAAACUCCAGCUCUCCACUAUCAAAAUGCCAGACUCUAAUGAAGCUGUGCCAGCACCGUGCCAGGUUAUCAAAGAGGACGUUGAUAAAUGUGUCAGAGAGAAGGGAGCGGAGGACUGUAAAGAUCUGAUAGAUGCCUUCCAGGCCUGUAUAAAAACCCUGUCUGAGGGAUCAUGAUACAUAAGGAAGUACAUCUUAAUAAAAAUCUUCACUUUAUCAAAGACCUCCACUUUCCCAGCAUUCCCUUCGAUGCCUAUUGCACUGGACUGAACCACCUGUAAAACUGAAGAGGGGGGCGAUGGCACUGAGCUUGUGAUACUGUAUUCCUCUGUCAAUGUGAAACUUUUUUUUCAUUCAGAAAUGUUUUAAUCUCAAUAUGAACUCUACAAUAACACAGAUUACAUGUGCACUGUAACAUUUUUAUGCACAAGAUCCAAAAUGCAAUAAACACAAAGCUUGUCCAUUUACCACA
This is a long non-coding RNA of Plectropomus leopardus (leopard coralgrouper), 491 nucleotides long. RefSeq lists it as uncharacterized. Lineage: Eukaryota; Metazoa; Chordata; Actinopteri; Perciformes; Serranidae. The record is from RefSeq and is a predicted model, not a curated record.